RNAcentral lists this ribosomal RNA (207 nucleotides) under uncultured bacterium. Its description in RNAcentral is "partial 16S ribosomal RNA". It matches the Rfam family "Bacterial small subunit ribosomal RNA", at positions 568 to 774 of the family's 1533-position model. The record is from RNAcentral.
CGUGUAGGCGGUUUGCACAGUUAGAUGUGAAAUCCCCGGGCUUAACCUGGGAGCUGCAUUUAAGACGUGUAGACUAGAGUGUGAGAGAGGGUUGUGGAAUUCCCAGUGUAGAGGUGAAAUUCGUAGAUAUUGGGAAGAACACCGGUGGCGAAGGCGGCAACCUGGCUCAUGACUGACGCUGAGGCGCGAAAGCGUGGGGAGCAAACA